Molecule: long non-coding RNA, 985 nt
Organism: Astatotilapia calliptera (eastern happy)
Lineage: Eukaryota; Metazoa; Chordata; Actinopteri; Cichliformes; Cichlidae
Source: Ensembl
GUAAGCCAAGUAUUUCCUUCUAUUUUGUAGAAGGAAGUAGAGCUAAAGCAGCUGAGGCGAAUUAUUUGACUACAUUUAAACGUACAUUGCAUACAUGUAUUUGGAUUUUGGCAGGUUUCAUGAUUCAUAAGGUUUUUUUUAUUCCCCUGCAGAUUAGUAGCGUGAGUUCUCAAAUUUAUUCAGUAAGCUGUAAAGGUGAGUAUUGUGCUGCAUUUAAGGAUGUCAAAAGAUUACACCUGUCACAGUUGUGGUGCUUUAAUGUAAAUGUUUGGGCACCCAUGGUCAACAUUUCAGUUCAUGUGAACAGUUAAGCAAGUAGAAGAUGAAAUAAUCUCCAAAUGGCUUAAAGUUAUAGAUGACAUUUAAUUUUAAAUAAAAUCAUUUUCAUAUUUUUUUAAACAGAAAAGGAAAAGGCCCACAGUUAAAGUUUGGACACCUUGUAGUUGACCGUAGGGCCCAAACUGCAUGCCAGUUGUAACAUCAGUUGUAACAUUGCAGUUAGUUGUUUGAGUCAUGUGUGGACUUGUUUUUUUGUCCCCUUGUCUCUUGUUCAUGUACACAACAGGAAACUCUACUUUGGCAGCCGAGCACUUCAUGUUAUCUGUGGACCAGGCAAUUGCGAAUGGCCAUAUCACUAUCUUCAGCGACGCACUUAUCCUGAUUUGUGGCUCUUAAUACUGCACGAACAUUUCUUAUCCAGUAGCCCAGGCAGCAACCUUGGAAUUCUUGCAACGAUGCCUUAAGAUUAACCCCGACAAGGGAUCCAAAGUGGAGUGGAACACGUCUAAGAAAAACCUUGCAGUCAAUCCAAAGGUUCUGACGUUGAUCACCAAAAUUGCGGACUAUGAGUGGAGAGCAUAAAAAGUUCUCAUUUUUAUCCUGAGGAUAACCUUAUCUGUUGUUCACUAGCACUGGUCUCUGGUUCAUGGUCAAUGUCAACAGCACGGGUGGCCCGCUUUAUAGGGGAAAAGUGAAAUAUAGGCUG